UAAGUUUUGUUCAUAGAGCUAGCGGUAGCCCACGUUUAGCUCAGAGAGUGGAGAAGGCGUUAGCGGUCCUGGUUCAAAACCUCCCAGCAACAGAAUGUUUUGAGCAGACACCUCAGCUUUUUUGCCUCUUUUCAGCAGACCAUUUGCAGCUACACGGCAGUCACUACUUUACAUCCUUUCUUUUUUGGUGGAUACCAGUGCUUGCAGAGAUCUUCACCAGCAGCUCCCUGACAAGGAAAUCUUCCGAACUCCACUGUAGGCACGGCCCAGAAGAUGGAUAAACCCAGCAUUUCAUGAACACACUGGAACCAAUCUAUCUUCAUAACAGAAUGUUUUUCUAAACAUGGAGAUAAAAGAUGGAAGAAACCGAUCUGAAUUUCCCAUCUCCUGCCUCCGAUGAUCACUGUGACCUCAGAGGGCAACUGGUCUGCGAAGCUGGAACUGGAGUGAGGGAGAGAGGAUUCAUCAUCCAGCUUGAAAGAAAAC
This is a long non-coding RNA of Haplochromis burtoni (Burton's mouthbrooder), 486 nucleotides long. RefSeq lists it as uncharacterized. NCBI's taxonomy places the organism in Eukaryota, Metazoa, Chordata, Actinopteri, Cichliformes, Cichlidae. The transcript has 3 exons. The record is from RefSeq and is a predicted model, not a curated record.